This is a small nuclear RNA of Anolis carolinensis (green anole), 134 nucleotides long. Its record names the gene U2. It matches the Rfam family "U2 spliceosomal RNA". Rfam says of the family: U2 is a small nuclear RNA (snRNA) component of the spliceosome (involved in pre-mRNA splicing). Complementary binding between U2 snRNA (in an area lying towards the 5' end but 3' to hairpin I) and the branchpoint sequence (BPS) of the intron results the bulging out of an unpaired adenosine, on the BPS, which initiates a nucleophilic attack at the intronic 5' splice site, thus starting the first of two transesterification reactions that mediate splicing. The record is from Ensembl. Lineage: Eukaryota; Metazoa; Chordata; Lepidosauria; Squamata; Anolidae.
AUCGCUUCUCGGCCUUUUGGCUAAGAUCAAGUGUAGUACUGUAUAGCAAUGGCUUUAUUUGUUUUUGUAUUCACAUUGAUGCAUUGAACUAAAUAUAUGUUUCAUGACAUUCAAAAAAAAGUUAUUUAUUACUG